This 272-nucleotide ribosomal RNA is filed under the name uncultured bacterium. RNAcentral's name for it is "partial 16S ribosomal RNA". It matches the Rfam family "Bacterial small subunit ribosomal RNA", at positions 524 to 791 of the family's 1533-position model. The record is from RNAcentral.
UACGAAGGGGGCGAGCGUUGUUCGGAUUUACUGGGCGUAAAGGGCGCGCAGGCGGACCAUCAAGUCAGGCGUGAAAGCCCCGGGCUCAACCUGGGAACUGCGCCUGGGACUGAGGGUCUGGAGUUCGGGAGAGGAGCGUGGAAUUCCCAGUGUAGAGGUGAAAUUCGUAGAUAUUGGGAAGAACACCGGUGGCGAAGGCGGCGCUCUGGGACGGUACUGGACGCUGAGACGCGAAAGCGUGGGGAGCAAACAGGGAUUAAGAAACCCUUGGU